AUGAACGCUGGCGGCGUGCUUAACCCAUGCAAGUCGAACGAAGCACUUAAGAUUGAUUCUUCGGAUGACGUCUUUUGUGACUUAGUGGCGGACGGGUGAGUAACGCGUGGGUAACCUGCCUCACACAGGGGGAUAACAGUAAGAAAUGACUGCUAAUACCGCAUAACCCGAUAGGAUCGCAUGAUCCAGACGGAAAAGAUUUAUCGGUGUGAGAUGGACCCGCGUCUGAUUAGCUAGUUGGUGAGGUAACGGCCCACCAAGGCGACGAUCAGUAGCCGGCCUGAGAGGGUGAACGGCCACAUUGGGACUGAGACACGGCCCAAACUCCUACGGGAGGCAGCAGUGGGGAAUAUUGCACAAUGGGGGAAACCCUGAUGCAGCGACGCCGCGUGAGUGAAGAAGUAUUUCGGUAUGUAAAGCUCUAUCAGCAGGGAAGAAAAUGACGGUACCUGACUAAGAAGCCCCGGCUAACUACGU
This 477-nucleotide ribosomal RNA is filed under the name uncultured bacterium. Its description in RNAcentral is "partial 16S ribosomal RNA". It matches the Rfam family "Bacterial small subunit ribosomal RNA", at positions 29 to 506 of the family's 1533-position model. The record is from RNAcentral.